RNAcentral lists this transfer RNA (70 nucleotides) under Neverita sp. HL-2020. RNAcentral describes it as "tRNA-Ile". The record is from RNAcentral. Lineage: Eukaryota; Metazoa; Mollusca; Gastropoda; Littorinimorpha; Naticidae.
UGAUAUCACGCCGGAUGAACGGAAGUCAUUGAUGUUGACUAAUAUGGAAUAAUUUUGUUUCUGAUAUUAU